Molecule: transfer RNA, 88 nt
Filed under: Corynebacterium frankenforstense DSM 45800
Lineage: Bacteria; Bacillati; Actinomycetota; Actinomycetes; Mycobacteriales; Corynebacteriaceae
Rfam family: tRNA
About the family: Transfer RNA (tRNA) molecules are approximately 80 nucleotides in length. Their secondary structure includes four short double-helical elements and three loops (D, anti-codon, and T loops). Further hydrogen bonds mediate the characteristic L-shaped molecular structure. tRNAs have two regions of fundamental functional importance: the anti-codon, which is responsible for specific mRNA codon recognition, and the 3' end, to which the tRNAs corresponding amino acid is attached (by aminoacyl-tRNA synthetases). tRNAs cope with the degeneracy of the genetic code in two manners: having more than one tRNA (with a specific anti-codon) for a particular amino acid; and 'wobble' base-pairing, i.e. permitting non-standard base-pairing at the 3rd anti-codon position.
Source: Rfam by way of RNAcentral
GGAGACGUGCCAGAGCGGCCGAAUGGGGCUCCCUGCUAAGGAGUUGACCUUGUGAUGAGGUCCGGAGGUUCAAAUCCUCUCGUCUCCG